RNAcentral lists this long non-coding RNA (7295 nucleotides) under Malus domestica (apple). RNAcentral describes it as "long non-coding RNA (MDOM_LNC017431)". Lineage: Eukaryota; Viridiplantae; Streptophyta; Magnoliopsida; Rosales; Rosaceae. The record is from RNAcentral.
AAAAUGACACACCCCGUCCCGAAGGAGGGCAUGUUGGCCGUCACGUGAGAGUGACGUAACCAUUUGCACAGUACGGAAGCUUUAAGAUACAAUUUAAAUUGAUACACCCGAAGGUGAGUCCUAAUUUUGUCCAAUCUGUCAGAACACCGUCGAAUUCCUCGUAGUCACCACACCUUUGUGAUUCCUGAACCUGGAGGGGCGCAAAACCAAAAUUGAGUGGGUCAGUAAAACAAUUCUUUUCCAAAUCCAAACAUUUCUCAAAACGUUGUAACCCCUCUCCGUAAAACCUGUAUACUUUCCCAGAAAUGUAAAAUAUAAAUAUACAUAUAUAUUCUCAAACUUCAUUUUUACUAUCUCAACAUUUUUCUUUAUCAAUCAUGCCAUGCCAUGUCAUCUCAACAUUUCUCAUAUUAAUUAUGCCAUGCCACAUCAUCUCAACAGUAAUAAGGUAUGAAUGCAUCAACAUAAUCAUAUCAGGUGCAAGAAAGUAAUCAACCGUAGGCCCUCUAAUAGCCCUAUACGGUUGAACCUAGAGCUCAAAAUCUAUCAUUAUCACUCUACCGGAGUCACCUCUGUGACCCGUCCGGCCUUCUGCACACAAGUUACGCUCUAGUGCUUCUCAUAAAUCAUCUGUGCACAUAAUCUAAGGUCACCCACCAGUCGGAAUCUCACUAACACUCUCGCGACUGGUCUGUCGUACCCACUCCGCGUGGACUGUACGACUAGCAUCUACUUGGAUCCAAGGCGAGCGUGCGAUGCGGUGAAUACUAUAAGCACUAAACCAUGGUGCAGGAUUUGAGCUCAAUAUAUAUCAUCAUCAUCAUAACAGUAAUUAAAUAUUCAUCUGUGCGUCCACCGCACCAUUUCAUACAUAUGCAUCAUAAAUCAAUUCUUACCUGUGCGUCCACCGCACCAAUUCAUACAUAUGCAUCAUAUAUUAAUUCAUGCAUGGCAUUUCAACUCACAUUUCUAUAUACUUUUCAUAUCAAUUCUAUGCAUGGUAUUUCACUUCCCGUUUUUCCACAUAACUCAUAUGCAUUUCAUUUUAAACAUAAUUUCAUGCAUUUUCAAUUUCUGGGAAAACGUUAAGUAUAUAUAUAUAUAUACGGAAAACAAAACUGCCCACUCACCUGGAGUUCGUCCAACAACUCCCUAGCACCACACAUCAAGGCGUCAUGACGAUCGCCGCCUAGAAUAGUAAUCAAAUCCAGGCUCAGAAUUCAUAUCGAUAGAAUACAUAACUUAUAUAAAAUACGUCACUACGUUGAUCGAUCCGGAAGAUCUGCCACUCAGAUUUUAAAUCCAUAACUUCCAAAGGUCCACACUAUACCUCUAGGACAACAUCCUAAAAUUUCAUUACCAUCCAACGGUCGGAUCUCCGUCAAUUUCCAAAACUAAGUGACGGUUAACAUUUUAUAUUAUGGACUUACAAUUCCAAUUCCGGAAGAUCCGUAACUCGGAUUCCCAAUCCGUAAGUUCCAAUAAUCCUCAAAUAUUACGUAUUACAACGUAUCAAAGUUUGGUGACGAUCCAACGGUCGGAUCAUCAAUUCACAUUUUCACCUAAAUGUGAAAACUAUAAAACGUUAUUUGAACACCUAACCAACAAUCUUCAAUAACUUUCUCAUACGGUGUACAAUUUAGGUAUAUGAAUAUACCACAGUGAUCUACUCGACGUCACGGACGUCGACAUAUUUUUAAAAUAAUUUUAUUUUUAUUUUUUAUUUUUACUGUAGCACCUUCUUCUUCCUUGGGUCGCCGGACUGGUUUUUCCGGCGGCCGUUUUCUGGGCAGUUUUUCAAAUUGCUAUAACUUUGUCAUUUCUCAACGAAAUCAAGUGAUUCAAAAACGAAAGUUGUAGCCCUUGAAGAGACAAAGAGAAUUGUACCUUGCACAACACCUAGUUCGCCGUAGUUUGGCCGGAAACUGCCUCGAAAGCCUCGGAGGUCGCCGGAAACUGGGUAUUUUUCAAAUGAGUAUAACUUCUUCAAUACUCAACGAAAUUGAGUGAAAAAAAAAGGAAAGUUGUAGUACUUGACGAGACGAAGAGAUUGAUACCUACCUCGACUCCUAAAUCGCCGGAGAUUCGCCGGAAAAUGCCUCGAAAGCUCCGGCCAAACUUUGAACUUGUCGAUCUCCGUGUUUUUACGUCCAAAAACUUCCAACGAAGCACUCCGAGCUUCCUUGGGACCUCACUAAGCUCGCUGUGAUCUUGUUUUAGCCUAAAUCGUAACCAUUUAAAAGAUCAUGAACAGUACCAUUUCACGGGAACUUUGAAACUAGGGUUUUUCGAAGCAAAACUUACCUGAAAUUGGUGUCUACGUGAUCGUGGAAGUUCCAGGAGUCCAAAUGUGGUCUUAUCUUGGACGUUUGUUUAUGUUUUAGGUGGUUUUGGGUGAGGUUGAGCGUCGGAGAGGAAGAGAGAGAACUGAGAGUGAGAGAGAGUCGUGAGGGAAGAGAGAUAGAGAGACAAGGUACGGGAAUUGGGGAAGGUUUUGAGGGAUGUGGGGAUCCCACGUGUCCAACUCAAUCCAAAUUGUUAAAUUUUCGCCCCUUAGUCCCGUUUAAGGGCAUUUUCGUCUUUUCAUGUCCUCAGAAUUAAAAUUCCGGGACGGGCUGUGACAAUCUUCCCUCCUUAUAGAAUUUCGUCCCCGAAAUUCCAGCAACCAACUAAAUCAACCAUACUCCAACAAUAGCUUCGGGUAAAUCUUUCUCAUCCGAUUCUCUUUCUCCCACAUACUUUUCUACUGAAUGAUUUCCUUCACAAAGCUUUACUACUUACUCUGUCUUAAUUCUCAGGACCUUCUUUUUCCAAUCCAAAGUCGUCCUUGGUUCCUUAUCAAGUCGAAUCCAAUUUAAUUCUCAAUAGUUACACCAUAAUCCCAUGUGACAAAUCUGCCACCUAGUGACAACGCAUCGAACACAAAAUACAUUAUGUGCCUUAGCCAAUUCUGAAGGCAUCACAAACUUGUAUGCAGCUUCAUCGAUUCUUUUAAUGAUCAAAACGGUCUGAUGUGUUUAAAUCUUAUCUUGUCUCUUUUCCAAUUCUCUUCAUUUCUGUUCGUGGUGAAUUUUCCAAAAAUAUCAAACCAUUUACCUUACACACACUCGAUUAGUGGCAUAUCCAUCUGUUGAUCUCUUUUGCCAUUCCUGGUUACUUCAGGUUAACUUAAUCACCUGAAUACUUUGAGGAGACUCAUCCAUAGUCUCAGGGUCUACUAAAACUCUUUCUUGAUCGAAUCUUUCUCUACCCAGAAACAUUCCAUUCACAAGUCAUCAAAAACCGACUCACGUGACACAUUUCAUGGUCCUUAUGGCGUUACUUCGGAAACUGCACAACCAACAUACUUAAGAAACUUAGCAGUUCCGUAAUCCAAUUCUCUUUUCCAUAAAACAAAUAAGUAGUGUUGCACUGUCUGGGAAAGGUUGUUACUCAACACUGGGGUAAAUGUACUAACUUGUUACUUAACAAGUAUAACUUCUUCUCGAUCUUCCAUUCUUAAUUUUUCUUCCGUUGGUUUUCAAUCCACAAAAUGAUACUCUUGGCAAACGUGCCAGAUAUUAAUCUUACUGUAGUCUUCUCACCAAGUGCUUCAGCUAGAACAAACUUUACGAUCACCCUGAUCGUACAAUCAUGUUCAUUAAGCAAUACAAUUCACUUUCGCUGCCUCAUAUCAAAUUCCUUCCAAGUAAUGGAUAUUGAAGACUUUUUGGAUUCGUAAAAAAAAAUCUUGCAUUCCCACUAAAAUAUAAUGUCUCCAUAACUUCACAGCAAGAAUGGUAAUCGUGACUUCCAAAUCACCAGUAGGGUAAUUCAUCUUAUGAGAUUCCAUUUAUCGUGAAACGUAUGCAAUCACCCUAACAUUUGCAUCAACAUGCCUCCAAUACCAUUCAAGAAACAUCACUAAAAAUUUAUGAUUACCACUAUUCUCUGGGAAUACCAAAAUACGUGCAUGAGUGAGGAAAUACUUCAGUUGUUGAAUCCUUUGCUUACAAUUCCUUCCCACUCAUACCUAACCUCUUUUCUCAACAGUCUCGUCAAUGACAAAGCAAUGACUGAAAAAUCUUUCACAACCAUCCAAGAUAGCCUGGUAAGCUAAGAAAUUCCAAAUCUCAAUUACGACUCGUGGUUGUUCCAAAUUUUAAUUUCUGUUACCUUUUAAGGAUUCACUUGAAUACCUUAAGAAUAUAUAACAUAUCCCAGAAAUGCUGCUUGAUUCAUCCAACAUUCGCAUUUGCUAAACUUAGCAUACAAUCGACAUUCUUCCAAUCUUUGUUCUACCGACUUAAUACGUUUACAUGCUCUGCUCUGGCUCAGAAUAUGCCAGAAUAUCUUCAAUGAAAAUGAUAUCAAUUAUCAAGGCAUUAUUGGAAUACUUCAUCCAUCAACUCAUAAAACCGCAUGAGUAUCCACAUAGCAUCACCAAAACUUUAUAAGGACCAUAACAAGUCCAGAAACCAUCUUAUGAUCAACGUCACUUAUAAUAUUCAAUUGGUAGUAACCAGAUCUCAAUUCAAUCUUUGAAUCUUCGCAAUUACUUCUGAGCUGGUUAAAUAAACAUCAGUACAUCACCAUGGAUAACGGUUCUCAAUCGUUACCCGACUCCAUUGUCUAUAAUCAAUGAACAGUCUCAAGAUCCAUUUUCUUCCUCACCAACAAACUGGGGCUCCUCAAAAGUGUUGUACUAGGUUGAAUAAAACUUUUAUCAACCAAUUCCCUCAACUGAAUUUCCAAUUCCCUUAACUCAUCAUGAACCAAUCUCCAAUAUAAAUUUAUACCUGGCAACAAAUCAAUAGUGAACCUCAUAUCUCUGCCUGAAGGCAAUCCAGGUAUACUUUCAGGGAAGACAUCAAGAAAAGUCUAACUCUUUCGACAUUAUUCACACUACUCCAAACAACAUCAUUUAGCACCACAUGAGCUAAGUAUUUUUGACAGCCUUUCGAAAACAAUCUCUUUGCUCUCACAGCAUAAAUAAUGACUGAACUCAAUCCACUUUGCAUACUUACAAAAGUAAUCUCUGGUCAUCCAGAUCGAUGGAAAGUACUGGUUUCCCAUAACAUUUCGUCUUGUCACAAUUAUAACCAACCAAUCUAAUGGAACAGAAUUAACUGAUACAAUAUAUAUUCUAUUAUUAUUAAGCAUUCCAAAUAAGUACAAUACUAACAUAAAAUAAUCUACCGGUUUACUUACUUAACGAAUCCACGAAUGAGUUAUUAAUAUUACGGUCUGCAGCCCGCAAUACUGAUAAAUCAUCGUUGUCUCGAUAAGUAGGCAACCACUCACAAAGAUAUAACAUUACUAUUUUGUCACUCAAUGCAAAAUACAUACACUCGUCUCAACUACAUUUAUUUACUACUCUCUAGGUAAUAACAUACAUAAUAAGAAAUAUAUCAGCCGAAGUCAACUAGAAUGACCAAUACGGCUGAUUCAACUCUUAUCUCAAUAAUACGUCGGCCGGAUCCACUCCGCGUGGUCGGUACGGCCGAGCCUAUAACUCACCAAUUUCUCAUGUGUCAAUCGAAUCCACUUCUCAUGGUCUGUACGGCUGAACAUAUAACUCAUCAAAUCUCUCUGUACUCACGGUCAAUCCGACCAAACUACUAAAUCCAUAACUCUGCUGAAUCAACACUAUGAUGUCAUAGAAAACUGUUGGGUACAACUGAUUCUAGGGACGAUUCACAAUUCUGUGUCCCCUCUGUUCACAUAAACACAUUCAUUAAUUUCACACUUCCCAAAGUGUUAAUUUUGUACCUGCUGCACAAGGUACAUUUCCUUUACUCGAGACACCUUGUCUCAAAUAUCUGGGAUUACUAGUAUAUCCAUCACUUUUACUCUGACCAGCGACAUUAAAACCUCAGCUGGAAGAAUUAACUCUAGCUUCACUUCUUUCGAAGCUCUGAAUCUUUCUAUAUCCUUGAUAUGACGAAUCAUUAACUUUAUCGUCUUCUUUUAAUUCCCAUUCAUUUCUUAUUCUUCUUUAUUCUCGUUGCUCAUGUUCUCAGAGUCCUCAAGACUCAACAGCAUCUCGUAUAUUCCUGGUAAGAAGUAUAAUGGAUAGUGGUCACCCAAAAUACCACUUCCCUUUUUGCCACCCAGCUUAAAACAACAUAACACCUCCACCAAAUUAACAACAAUAUCUGGAUGGAACGAGGCAAGUCUGAAAACUUUCUAUAAUAUCCCUCGAUCAUCACCUUCCUUGUCUCAUAUUUGUAAACUCUUGUUUACUACCAUCGAUAAAUGUCGGAGGGAUAAACUUUUCCUUAAACAAGUCCUUAAACAAUUUUAAAUCGGCUGAUUCCUCUGGUGACAACAAUUAAUACUCCUGCUUCCAUCAGGAUACACGUUCAUAACUCAAACCAGGUAGUCAUCUCGACCCCUUGUCAGAAGGAAGAUUCCUUUGACUUGCAUAAUCCGAAACAUCUUUUCCAAAUGGUUAAACCGUUACUUCGCUCCCUCAGGUUCAUCAUUUCUCUUAAGUGAUUCAAAUUCAACUCAUAACCCGUCUUAAAAUGUCCAUUUUUCUAAUAUACUGAAUCACCAUAAGAAUAGUUUCCCCUAACCCGCUAAAUCAGGGAGACUAAGUUCCUCUAACUACGUGGUUUGCUACGAGGCGGUGUAGUUCUGACAGAAUUCACUAGAAACUUCUCAAGAUGUCCAAGAUUGCAACCAUGCUCUGAUACCAACUGACACACCCCGUCCCGAAGGAGGGCAUGUUGGCCGUCACGUGAGAGUGACGUAACCAUUUGCACAGUACGGAAGCUUUAAGAUACAAUUUAAAUUGAUACACCCGAAGGUGAGUCCUAAUUUUGUCCAAUCUGUCAGAACACCGUCGAAUUCCUCGUAGUCACCACACCUUUGUGAUUCCUGAACCUGGAGGGGGCGCAAAACCAAAAUUGAGUGGGUCAGUAAAACAAUUCUUUUUCCAAAUCCAAACAUUUCUCAAAACGUUGUAACCCCUCUCCGUAAAACCUGUAUACUUUCCCAGAAAUGUAAAAUAUAAAUAUACAUAUAUAUUCUCAAACUUCAUUUUUACUAUCUCAACAUUUUUCUUUAUCAAUCAUGCCAUGCCAUGUCAUCUCAACAUUUCUCAUAUUAAUUAUGCCAUGCCACAUCAUCUCAACAGUAAUAAGGUAUGAAUGCAUCAACAUAAUCAUAUCAGGUGCAAGAAAGUAAUCAACCGUAGGCCCUCUAAUAGCCCUAUACGGUUGAACCUAGAGCUCAAAAUCUAUCAUUAUCACUCUACCGGAGUCACCUCUGUGACCCGUCCGGCCUUCUGCACACAAGUUACGCUCUAG